RNAcentral lists this ribosomal RNA (225 nucleotides) under Blautia stercoris. RNAcentral's name for it is "partial 23S ribosomal RNA". It matches the Rfam family "Bacterial large subunit ribosomal RNA", at positions 2701 to 2925 of the family's 2925-position model. The record is from RNAcentral. Lineage: Bacteria; Bacillati; Bacillota; Clostridia; Lachnospirales; Lachnospiraceae.
ACAGGCCGCUGGUGUAUCUGUUGUAGUGCCAACUGCAUGGCAGAGUAGCCAAGCCUGGAAGGGAUAAACGCUGAAGGCAUCUAAGCGUGAAGCCCCCCUCAAGAUGAGAUAUCCCAUUCUUAGGAAGUAAGACCCCUUGAAGACGACGAGGUAGAUAGGGCAGAGGUGGAAGUGCAGCAAUGUAUGGAGCUGACUGCUACUAAUCGGUCGAGGGCUUGACCAGAA